AGUGAACGCUAGCGGCAGGCUUAAUACAUGCAAGUUGAGGGGCAGCAUGAUAUACGCGAGUAUAUUGAUGGCGACCGGCGGACGGGUGAGUAAUAGGUAGGAGACCUACCUCAUACAGGGGGAUAGCAUAGAGAAAUCUGUGGUAAUACCCCAUGAGGUUAUAUGAAUAGAGGCAUAUAAUCAAAGCAUAAGCGAUUAUGCGGUAUGAGAGGGGCCUACUGACCAUUAGCUAGUUGGUGAGGUAAGGGCUCACCAAGGCGAAGAUGGUUAGGGGUUUUGAGAGAGAGACCCCCCACAUUGGAACUGAGAGACGGUCCAGACUCCUACGGGAGGCAGCAGUAGGGAAUAUUGGGCAAUGGGCGAAAGCCUGACCCAGCCAUGCCGCGUGAAGGAAGACGGCCUUAUGGGUUGUAAACUUCUUUACUACGCGAAUAGAGGUUAGUACGAGAUACUAAUAGGAAGGUAGUGUAGUAAAAAGCACCGGCUAACUCCGUG
RNAcentral lists this ribosomal RNA (495 nucleotides) under uncultured bacterium. Its description in RNAcentral is "bacterial SSU rRNA". It matches the Rfam family "Bacterial small subunit ribosomal RNA", at positions 29 to 507 of the family's 1533-position model. The record is from RNAcentral.